RNAcentral lists this long non-coding RNA (8491 nucleotides) under Citrus sinensis (sweet orange). Its description in RNAcentral is "long non-coding RNA (CSIN_LNC001182)". The record is from RNAcentral. Lineage: Eukaryota; Viridiplantae; Streptophyta; Magnoliopsida; Sapindales; Rutaceae.
AAGGUGUUGCUCCACCAUGGUGGCCAAAUGGGAAUGAGGAGUGGUGGCCUCAGUUGGGUCUGCCAAAGGAUCUAGGUCCUCCCCCGUACAAGAAGCCGCAUGAUCUGAAGAAGGCUUGGAAAGUGAGUGUUCUUACAGCAGUGAUCAAGCACAUGUUCCCUGAUAUUGCUAAGAUUCGAAAGCUUGUACGUCAAUCUAAAUGCCUGCAGGAUAAGAUGACUGCCAAGGAAAGUGCCACUUGGCUGGCGGUAAUUAACCAGGAAGAAGCAUUGUCCAGGAAACUGUAUCCUGAUAGCUGCCCUCCAGUAUCGGCUGGCGGGAGUGGCUCAUUCAUCAUCAGUGAUAGCAGUGAUUAUGAUGUUGAAGGUGUAGAGGAUGAUCGAAAUGUUGAAGUUGAGGAGAUCAAACCUCGUGAUGUUAAUCUCUUUAAUAUGGGGGCUAUGGGAAGAGAUAGGCUUAUGAUGACUCCACCUAUGGUUCCUCAAAUCAAGGGAGAACUUGUUGAAACCAACUCAGAUUUCAUUCAGAAGAGGAAGCAGCCUGCUGAUCAGUCUCAUUUGAUGAUGGAUCAAAAGAUAUAUACCUGUGAGUUUCCCCAGUGUCCCUACGGUGACUACCGCCUUGGAUUUCUUGAGAGGAGUUCGAGAAACAAUCAUCAGUUAAAUUGCCCUUAUCGCCACAAUUCUUCUCAAGGGUUCGGGAUGCCAAACUUUCAAGUUAACAAUGACCAAACUGUGGCUUUCUCUCGACCUUUUGCUCAACCAACUCAACCUAAGCCGGCAACUCCACCGAAGAACCAGACUCAAUCACAAUUCAAUAUUUCAGGACUUGAACUUCCUGAUGAUGGACAAAAGAUGAUCACCGAUCUGAUGUCCUUCUAUGAUACUAAUCAUCAGCAGAACAAGAGCUUGAAUUCAGGGAAUCUUAAUGCUAUUGGAGAUCAGAAUCAGCAGCAGGAGCAGCGGAAAUUUCAACUUCAAAUGGAUGAUAGCUUUUAUAGCCAAGGAGCUGUGAUGGGACGCAACAUGCCAGGGCAAUCUAACAUGCCAAUGAACAACUCUGUUUUCUCCUCGGCUGAAAUUCGUUUUGAUCAGUGCAAAGCAUUUGAUUCCCCAUAUGAUGCCAAUCCCAGCGACAGUAUCGCUGACUUUAGAUUUAACUCUCCAUUCAACAUGGCAUCAGUUGAUUACGCCAUGGAUUCUAUUCCGAAGCAAGAUGUAUCCCUGUGGUACCUUUGAAGAAGGAAAUGGACCUGUCAUAUAAAGUGCUUACAUUUUAUGUGGUCUCUAGCAGACUAGAAAAAAAAGCUGUACAUCAUUGGAAGAAGGUUACUGUUACGAGUUCUGCUCCAAAGGUGCGAGACUUCUUCCUUCUAAAUUUGGUAUGUUUCAAGUCUAGGGUUAUUUAGGUUUUGCUUUCAUUGCAGUAUUGAAGAUGGGCAAUAAGUAACUGGUAGGAACCACAACCCAAUAUUCACUGCUGCUGUUGAAGUUUAGGAACAGUGUCUUGUUGCUAUGGUUGGUAUUGGCCAGUAGUUGUAUACAUAUAUAUACAUAUACAUUAUGUACACAUAUUUUUAAUGUAUGCUUGUUUUCCAUCCACAACGGCUGUAUUUUUUUAAGCAUUCACCUAGCCAGAUGUGCUACUGGGUAUUGUUUUUUGGGGCACGAUUCUUAUUCCUUUUGUUGUUCUUUAUAUACGAUGGAUGGAUCGAUCGAGGUAAAAUAGUUUUGUUUGCCAUUUUGUAUGCGUAACUCGGAAAUGUUAACACUUUCUUUUUCUGUUUGUAAGCUACUGAUUCCAAGUUGAAGGAACUUUGAUUUUUUCCCCACUUUAAAUCUACUUUUGGCUAAUGAAGACCGAUUUUGAACAGUUGAAAUUCAAUGUAUUUUUUGUUAGGUAAUAACACAAUCGAUUUUGGGAAACAACUUUUUUCAGCAUGAUUUUAAAGGGGUGUUGCUUUCCCUCUUUGACAAACACUACGCAACCCAGUUAGGAAAACUGCUUAAUCGGAUGACUCAUGAUAGGCAAAUCUGACCGACAAAACCCAAAUGAUCCCAUGACCACCAAAACAAGCUUCCUUUUGUGCCAACACUAAAAGGGUAGUAUUAUUACUUACCAGGCAUGGACAAGUUAUGAAAGUAAAUUGCUGCUAUUGGACUAUUUUAAUAAAAAUAAUUUGCCAUCUAAUUUCUCCUUUUUAGAAGAUAGAUAUUAUUUUUCUAGAGUGCAUAGUGUGUGUCGCAAUGGAUAUACACUUUCAAAGUUGGGGUAUAUAGUUUAUAUGUGAAUUGGUAUCUUGCCUCGCACAUCAGUUGGAGUACAACUUUGUAAGUUUAUAGUUAUGUUAGAAUCAUUUUAAUGUAGAGUAUCAUUUCAUAAUAUACGAUCAAGUUGUAAUGAGUCUUUUUAUUAUUUAUCAUUUUAUAUGUGUAGUUGUGAUUUGUGAUCUAUCUUAAAACAGUUCUAAAAUAGUCAUAAUUUUAUUAUUGUAACUUCAAACUACACAUUUUGCAAAGAAAUGAAUAUUAUAAUUUUCUUUUUAGAUUACCCUUAUUUAAAUUUAAAAAAAAAAAGAGUUUGGAGAAUUAAUUUGAACUUUCUUUAUUUGAAAUAAAUAAUAAAAAUGAAGUGGGAGAUCGAGUGAACUCUAUUAUCUAAUCCGUUAGUGUUUUUUUUUUUUAAGGGUUCAAGGAGGUGACGCGUACUCCGAUAAUACGACGCCGUGGGCCCAUCUCGAUAUACGCGUCGAUCAUUGAAUGGCUCGUUAAAGGAACAGCACGUGGGGUAUUGAGGAUAAUCUUCAAGUGCGGCGGCUGUGGACUUUUGAGACUGAUUUUUUGAAUAAUUUGAAUAAUAUUUUUCUUUUUCGUUGCGACAAAUGCGCUUUUUGUAAUAAUACACUGAACUUCUCCUGGAUUUACGAAACUGCCCUUCCUAUUGUCGAAUAAUUUAAUGAGAAACAAUUAUGAAAAAAAGAAUAAUUUAAUUUUCAAAUAAAUGAGGAAAAACAACUAAUUAAAGGAAUUAUAGAAUCCUAAAUUGAGAUUGUAAACUUGUAAUGGUAAUAAAAGAGUCUUAAUGGUUUUCAUAAAUUAACUUUGUCUUGGUUAAGCAGUGAUCAAUUACGGUAGAUUUGUCCAUGAAAGAGAGGAUCAAAGAGUUUAUGUGCAUACAUUUUUUAAAUAUAUUUUUUAGCCAAAAAAAAAAAAAACAGGUUGGCAAUGAGCACGAAAAUUUAAUAAAGAUUUUUUUGGAGAUAUAAAAAAAAGUAAAAUAAUUUUAAUUUGGAUAUUAAAUUAGACAUUAUUUUGAGAAAAAAAUACAGGAAUAUGUAGUUUUGAUUGAGAAAUGAAAACAAGUAAGAAUGGAGUAUUUUUUUAAAAAAUAAAAUUUUACAUUUAAUUUUAGAAUAGGGUGAAUUUCAAUAUUUUUAAUCCAUACAAAUAUAGCGACAUAAAAUUUUAUAGGACUUUUUAAACAUUGUGGAUUAGUUUCUUAAUAGUUGAGCCGUAAAUAAAUGACUAAAAAUAUAGUUGUUUUUAUAUUUUCGGCGCAAACACUCUCAGCUUAUAAUUCACACUUUAUAAAUCACGGAUGCUUCAAUUAACCAUCAUUUUGCAUGUAAACACGUAGAUUCGCAUUGUCAAUGAAAAUAUUUUGAAAUAUUACUUUAAAAGGGUAGCUGUUAUUUUUAUUUUUAUUUUUCUAUUUUAUAUGCAUCUUAAACCCCAGAAGCUUAUAAUUUGGACCCCAAAAUAUAUUCAAGAAGAGGAAUCCAAAAACAGAAGAAAGAAGGGCCAAUAAAAAAAAAAAAAAACAAAUCUCCAUUCUUGUUACUUUUUUUGUUAAUUGACCAAUUUGAGCAAAAGCUUACACUAAGGGUUAGUUUGAUAAUGUCGUAACUUUUAAAAUAAUUACUGUUAGUUGUGUUAUAGAAAUAAUUAGCGGUGAAGAAAAUUAGUUAAAUGAUUGUUGAGAUUCAGUUUUAAAGGUGCCGUGAGUUUUAAAAGCAGUUGUAUGUAUUUAAUAAAUCUUACUCUUAAAUUAUUAUAAUAAUAUAAAUGAUUGAAUUAUAUAUAAUAUUAAAUAAAAUUUAUUUACACAUUUAUAAACAUGUAUAUACAAUAUAUUUUUUUAUUGUGUACAUAUGUUAAUUGAUAAAUAAAAUAAACAUUUUACACUAUUAAUUUUUUUAUUUUACUAUCUCAAUGCAGUCAAUAUAGUUGGUUAUAAUAAUAAUUUCUUUAAAGUUAAUGAUUUCUUCUAAUUAAUAAGAAUAAUUUUUAUUUUUAUUAUAUAUAUAUAAGAAUAUAUAUGAAAUUACACUAAGUAUAAAAAUAAUUUUUCAAAAUCAAAUUUUACUACCCAUUCGUUGAUUUUCAUAAUAUGUAAUAGGAUGAGAUAAUUGUUAAGAAUAAAUUAAAAAAAAACAUAUCAAACAGUAAACUUAACUUUUAAUUUUUUAAAUUUACUAAAUCUCAGAUGGGCCCUAAAGCUGAUAAUAGCUUAAGCUUUUUUAUAUCGCGUGAAGUUUCACUAGACAAGUCAAAAUUUGCACUAAAUUCUUACCCCCACGUGCGUCAAAUAUUUAUAGUCCUUAAAGUCCUUCAAACAAAGCCAAAAUUCUCCCUCCCAUCAAUUUUACCAGGCCCCACAGCGCUUUCUAGGUUCAAUUGAUUUAUUUUAUUUAUACUUUGACCAAACUUUUUAUAAAAAAAAUUAUUUAUUCAAAAUGAUUAACAGUUCAGCACUUAUUAUUCUUGCACUCGAAAAAGAAUAAGUCUUCUAUCUUGUUCGAGACUUCACCAUGUCUUGAUAAAGACUUGGUUGAUCCUCCAUAUUUGUUAAACAUAAUUCUAGGACUUAGUGAGAGCAAUUUACGUUAACUCAAUGAAAGUCAUUGGUGCGAUCAUUUUUAUUUCAUUAUUUUCAAAGAUUAAUCUUUUGAAUUGAGUAUUUGCAUAAUUGCAUCUUUUCAUUUUUUACCCCCCUCCCAAUUUAUCUUUUUCCCCCCCCCCCCAAUUUUUUUUUUUUUUUUUUUUUUUUUUUUACUUUAGUUAUCAAAUUCUAGCUAGCAUAUUACAAACUUGAUAUCAUGGUCACAUUUUCAUCUAGCACCUACAGUUAUAUGCGUCCACACUAUAUGCACUAUACUUCAUAAUUAUGGAUUCCAACUUCAUUAUUUAGUAUUGUAGUGCUAUGAUUUUAUCUGCAUAAAAUCACAGUUUCAAACUCGAUAGUUGUAAAUACUUAUCAAACACAUUAUUCGUAUAAUUUUAGAAGUUAAGUUGUAAGUUUAGAAGCUAAGUUGGUCAAUAUCAAUAUUAAUCUAUGGUAAUGCAGCCGUAGUAUCACCUUUUGUAAAUAAUGAAAAAUAAUAUAAUAUAUAGUUAAAAAAAAACAUGUUAAAAUUGAGAUUUGUUAACUUAUAUAAUAAGGUAACAAACACCAAUAAAUACACAAGCGUUAGAUUUCAAUCUAACGGCUGUGAAAAUGUAAGGUAAUAGUAUUAAAAACUAUAGAGAAAUGAGAAUACUUACCACAUUUAUAAUGUUUGUUACCUUAUCAUGUAAGAUAAUAAGAGCCGUUAAAAUUCGGUUCAUUACAUCAAACAUAGAGUAUACAUAUUUACAUCACAGUACAGCAAUGAGAAAAUAGUUCAGUUUACAGAUGCCAAUAUAUAACGGCAUUUGUUCAAGUAAACCUCCGUGAAAUUUAAGGAGAAAAACAAAGGCGCUAAUCUCUUGCCACGUUACAUAACCUGAUUUGUUAAUUUUAAGAAAGAAACGAACAAAAGAAACACAGAAGUGAGUCCCACAAAAGUAGUAGUAAAAAUUAUUAAACUCUGCAUAAUCAGCAGCGUAAUCCAAAUUCCCGCGUUUUAACCGCGGUUAAAAAGAAACUGACCGUGGUUAAAUAAAUGCAAAACAAAAGGUCACCGCUCUCGCCAGUCGCGAAAAAGAUUUUACUGUGUCACUUCGCUUUCCUUUGUUUUUUAGCUUCUUCGUCUUCCUUCUGGCUCCAUUACAAAAGCCGGAGGGAACAAUCCCACAUCCCAUCAAUUUCAACAUCAAAACGGUUUUGAUGGCUCGAACCAACAAGUGAAAAAAAUCAUCUCGUCUCAACUUAGCCGGUACAUUUAACUUUCAUUUGCGACUUCUUUUUUUCCUUCUUUUCCCUCAAUUUUUUUUUUUUUUUGAUUCAUGUUAAAUUAAAGUUAUAGUUUUGUUCUCUUGUAAAUGAUCUUCAGCUCUUUUGAGCAUGUGGGUUCUUAUUCUUUUGGCUUUUGGAUCAUCACUGCUGCGGUUUAUGUGUUAAGCUCGUGUCGUUUUGGUUUGGCUUGGCUUGGCAUACUGGGUUCACUAAAAUUUGCAGCAGGCUCUGUCUUUUUCUCUGUCCUUUUUUUUUUGUCUUUUCUAAUUUGGGAUUAUUUAGUUUUAAAUUUGUCUUAAUUUCAUUUAAGUAAAAUUAACGAAAGCUUUCAUUGUGAUCGAAACCCCGAACUUCCGGAUUUGUAUGGAUAAUUUAGUUCCGUGUUUGUGUAGCUUGUGUUCAAGAUAAGUGAUUUUAUUUUAAUUAUUCGUUAUUAUUAUUAUUAUUAUUAUUAUUUUUUCUUUUGCUUAUUCGGAAGGGGGGGGGGGGGGGGGUGGGUUUGCCGUUUAUGUAUUUUAGUUCCAACUGUAGGCAGAUCUGGGCUCUGGUAAUGUGGGUCAUUUUUUUUUUUUAAAUAAAUUUCGUUUUGUUAAAAGCUCUUGACACAUUAAUUUGUUGUAAUUUUGUUUUUUGUUGCAUUUAUUAUUUUAUUACUUGCCUUGUUUAUCUAAUUAAUGGGUUUAUGGGAAUUUGUACUUGGGGUUAUAUGUCUUUGAAUAGAAGUUGAUACAGAUUCACUGUACCGGGUUUAUCUAAGCUGGAACUGAUUUGUUUUAUUUAUUUAAUUUGCAGGACUUGACGGUUAAUGUAUAUUUCUAUAUUCUGAAUUGCAGAGUUCUCUGUUUUCAAGUUAUUUGUGGAGUACUUUUGUGCAUUUGUUGGUCGAGAGGGAGAGAAUCAAAGUGAUAUUGACCUGGUUCAAUUAAGCUUGGAAUCGAGGUUGAUAUUUGAGGCUAUAGUGAAUGGGAAUCUUUGAAGAAAUGGGAUUCUGCGGAAACCUUGAGUUCUUCUCAGCUCUCCCGGGGGAAGGAGAAGCAGUUAUGGGGCAUGAGAUGGAGACGGCAGUGGAAGAGGAUUGUAGUGAUGAAGAAGUGGAUGUUGAUGAACUCGAGAGGAGGAUGUGGCGAGAUCGGCUGCUCCUGAAGCGCCUUAAAGAGCAAAACAAGAGUAAGGAAGGAGUUGAUAGCGCUAAGCAUCGUCAAUCUCAGGAGCAAGCCCGAAGGAAGAAGAUGUCUCGGGCACAAGAUGGCAUCCUUAAAUACAUGCUCAAAAUGAUGGAAGUUUGUAAGGCUCAGGGUUUUGUUUAUGGAAUUAUCCCUGAGAAGGGGAAGCCAGUGACUGGAGCGUCUGAUAAUCUUCGAGCUUGGUGGAAGGAAAAAGUCAGAUUCGACCGUAAUGGCCCUGCGGCAAUUGCUAAGUAUCAGGCGGAUCAUGCUAUUCCUGGAAAGAAUGAAGAUUUUGGUACCGUGGUGUCUACGCCUCACACCUUACAAGAGCUACAAGAUACUACUCUUGGAUCUCUUUUGUCGGCUCUGAUGCAGCACUGCAAUCCACCGCAGAGGCGUUUUCCUUUGGAAAAAGGUGUUGCUCCACCGUGGUGGCCAACUGGGACUGAGGAGUGGUGGCCUGAGUUGGGUCUGCCCAAGGAUCAGGGUCCUCCCCCUUAUAAGAAGCCUCAUGAUCUGAAGAAGGCUUGGAAAGUGGGGGUUCUCACAGCGGUGAUCAAGCACAUGUCCCCUGAUAUUGCUAAGAUCCGAAAGCUUGUUCGCCAAUCUAAAUGCUUGCAGGAUAAGAUGACUGCUAAGGAAAGUGCCACUUGGCUGGCAAUAAUUAAUCAGGAAGAAGCUUUGUCUAGGAAACUGUAUCCUGAUAGCUGCAUUCCGGCGUCUACUGGAGGAAGUGGUUCUUUCAUCAUUAGUGAUAUCAGUGAUUAUGAUGUUGAAGGAGUAGACAAUGAAAGGAAUGUUGAAGUAGAGGAGAUUAAACCACUUGAAGCCAAUCUUUUCAACAUGGGUGCUAUGGGAUCAAGAGAUCGGCUUAUGAUGCCUCCAUCCUUGGUUCCUCGAAUCAAGGGAGAGGUUUUUGAGACCCACUCAGAAUCCAUUCAGAAGAGGAGGCAGUCGGCUGAUGAGCCACAUAUGACGAUUGAUCAAAAGAUUUAUACCUGUGAGUUUACCCAGUGCCCCUACAAUGACUACCACCAUGGCUUUCUGGACAGGACUUCGAGAAACAAUCACCAGCUGAAUUGCCCAUACCGCAAUAACAGUUCUCAAGGGUGUGUAAUGCCAAACUUUCAAAUUAACAAUGACCAACCUGCAGUGUUCUCUCUACCAUU